RNAcentral lists this unclassified non-coding RNA (379 nucleotides) under Hevea brasiliensis (rubber tree). The record is from RNAcentral. Lineage: Eukaryota; Viridiplantae; Streptophyta; Magnoliopsida; Malpighiales; Euphorbiaceae.
AUAAAGAGGUGGCUCUUGUCUUGUAAGAGUAGUCAUUGGAGAGUAUAAUUUAUCUACACCUGGCCCUAGCAUAUAAAUCCAGAAGGCGGGAGCUGUAUUCAGAAGCUAUGAUGGGUCGUGGUGGAAUAUGUUUGUUGUGACUUAAGAUUUGUGAUGAUGUGGGGUUGGGGAAGUAUGUGACGAUCGAACAAUGUGGUUUUCUGUUUAUGUAGAUUACCAGGAGUUGUGGAAAUUUUUUUUUGUUUUUUUGGUUCCUGUUUAGAGUGCUGUGAUUUUCAUUUGUAUCCAUUUGCCUUUAUGUAAUGAAGCUCUCCUUUUCUUAUAUGAGUUAUUAUGUCGCAGCUAGUUUGCCUUAUAGCAUGCCAAUUUCCUUACACAA